AUACUUAUCUGGAUGGGUCAAUGGGUGAUCAGUAAGGCCCAUGGCCUAGGCUAGUGACCUCCAUUGCACUUUGGAGGACCUAAGUGGUUGAGCCUACGUCAUAAUUUGUGGUAGUCCGCGUUCGCGCGGCU
RNAcentral lists this small nuclear RNA (131 nucleotides) under Nicotiana attenuata. RNAcentral describes it as "snRNA U1". It matches the Rfam family "U1 spliceosomal RNA". From Rfam's summary of the family: U1 is a small nuclear RNA (snRNA) component of the spliceosome (involved in pre-mRNA splicing). Its 5' end forms complementary base pairs with the 5' splice junction, thus defining the 5' donor site of an intron. There are significant differences in sequence and secondary structure between metazoan and yeast U1 snRNAs, the latter being much longer (568 nucleotides as compared to 164 nucleotides in human). The record is from Rfam by way of RNAcentral. Lineage: Eukaryota; Viridiplantae; Streptophyta; Magnoliopsida; Solanales; Solanaceae.